GCGGGAGUAGCUCAACGGAAGAGCGGCGGCGUCAUGAGCCGCAGGGUGAAGGUUCAAAUCCUUCUUCCCGUU
This is a transfer RNA of Bellilinea caldifistulae, 72 nucleotides long. It matches the Rfam family "tRNA". From Rfam's summary of the family: Transfer RNA (tRNA) molecules are approximately 80 nucleotides in length. Their secondary structure includes four short double-helical elements and three loops (D, anti-codon, and T loops). Further hydrogen bonds mediate the characteristic L-shaped molecular structure. tRNAs have two regions of fundamental functional importance: the anti-codon, which is responsible for specific mRNA codon recognition, and the 3' end, to which the tRNAs corresponding amino acid is attached (by aminoacyl-tRNA synthetases). tRNAs cope with the degeneracy of the genetic code in two manners: having more than one tRNA (with a specific anti-codon) for a particular amino acid; and 'wobble' base-pairing, i.e. permitting non-standard base-pairing at the 3rd anti-codon position. NCBI's taxonomy places the organism in Bacteria, Bacillati, Chloroflexota, Anaerolineae, Anaerolineales, Anaerolineaceae. The record is from Rfam.